CUACGGGGUGCUCCAGUGAGGAAUAUUGCACAAUGGGGGGAACCCUGAUGCAGCAACGCCGCGUGAGUGAAGAAGGCCUUCGGGUCGUAAAGCUCUGUCUUUAGGGAAGAAAAACUAUGGUGAAAAUAUUGCCAUAGUCUGACGGUACCUGAGGAGGAAGCUCCGGCUAACUACGUGCCAGCAGCCGCGGUAAUACGUAGGGAGCGAGCGUUGUCCGGAAUUACUGGGCGUAAAGGGCGUGUAGGCGGGAAUUUAAGUAAGGUGUGAAAACUCCGGGCUCAACUUGGAGACUGCACUUUAAACUGGAUUUCUUGAGGGCAGGAGAGGAAAGUGGAAUUCCUAGUGUAGCGGUGAAAUGCGUAGAUAUUAGGAGGAACAUCAGUGGCGAAGGCGACUUUCUGGACUGCAUCUGACGCUGAGGCGCGAAAGCAUGGGUAGCGAACAGGAUUAGAUACCCGAGUAGUC
Molecule: ribosomal RNA, 465 nt
Filed under: uncultured bacterium
Lineage: Bacteria
Description: partial 16S ribosomal RNA
Rfam family: Bacterial small subunit ribosomal RNA
Source: RNAcentral